UAAAAUAAUUAAGGGCACACAAAGGAUGCCUAGGUAGUAAGAGCCGAUGAAGGACGUGGUAAGCUGCGAUAAGCCUAGAUAAGUUGCAAUCGAACGUAAGAGUCUAGGAUUUCCGAAUGGAGCAAUCUAUUAAGAUGGAGUCUUAAUACGAAAGAGGGAACCGCGUGAACUGAAACAUCUAAGUAACGCGAGGAAAAGAAAGUAAAAACGAUACCCAAAGUAGCGGCGAGCGAAAUGGGUCAAGCCUAAACCUUAAAUAUGUCAAGGAUACAGCCGUUGUAUUUAGGGGGUUGAGGGACAGAGUAGUGAAGAACUGUAAGAUAUUCAAUAUAGUGUAUUGAUGAAUUGGAAUUGUCUGGAAAGGCGAACCGUAGAAGGUGAAAGUCCUGUACAAGUAAAUCCUUACACAUAUAACUCUGCUCCCAAGUAACAUGGAACACGAGGAAUUCUGUGUGAAUCUGUGAGGACCAUAUCUCAUAAGGCUAAAUACUCUUACUAACCGAUAGCGCAUAGUACCGUGAGGGAAAGGUGAAAAGAACCCCUGGAGGGGAGUGAAAUAGAACCUGAAAUUGUGUGCUUACAAGCGGUCAGAGCCAGUAAUGGUGAUGGCGUGCCUUUUGGAGAAUGAUCCUGCGAGUUACGUUAAACGGCGAGGUUAAGUAUAACGGAGCCGAAGGGAAACCAAGUCUUAAUAGGGCGAUUUAGUCGUUUGGCGUAGACGCGAAACCUGGUGAUCUAAACCUGUCCAGGAUGAAGCUGUGGUAAGACACAGUGGAGGUCCUAACCCACCGCCGUUGAAAAGUUGGGGGAUGAGGUAGGUUUAGGGGUGAAAAGCCAAUCGAACCAGGAGAUAGCUCGUUCUCUCCGAAAUGUAUCUAGGUACAGCCUUGAGUGUUCAAUUAUGGGGGUAGAGCACUGAAUGAUCUAGGGGGCGUAUUGCUUACUGAAAUCAAUCAAACUCCGAAUACCAUAAUUUAUAGCUCAGGAGUGAGACUAUGGGAGUUAACUUCCAUUGUCGAAAGGGAAACAACCCAGACCACCAGCUAAGGUCCCUAAUUAUAACUAAGUGGGAAAGGAGGUGGAGAUUCACAAACAACUAGGAGGUUGGCUUAGAAGCAGCCAUACCUUUAAAGAGUGCGUAAUAGCUCACUAGUCGAGAGUCUCUGCGCCGACAAUGUAACGGGGCUAAGUUAUAAACCGAAGCUGUGGAAUCCGUAAGGAUUGGUAGGAGAGCGUUCUGUAGGCCGUUGAAGGAGAAGGGUAACCGACUCUGGAGGUAUCAGAAGUGAGAAUGCAGGAAUAAGUAGCGAGAAAGGGGGCGAGAAUCCCCCUCGCCGGAAGACCAAGGUUUUCAGGGUAAAGCUUGUCUUCCCUGAGUAAGCCGGGACCUAAGCCCAGGCUAUAAUGCGUAGGCGAAUGGAAAACAGAUUAAUAUUUCUGUGCCAGUCAUAUAUUGUGAUGGAGGGACGCAGAAGGGUAUGCGCGCGGACGAACGGAAGUGUCCGUAGAAGUAUGUAGGAUGACUUGAUAGGAAAAUCCAUUGAGUUAUAUCUGAGGUAUGAUAUACAGUCGUAAGAUGAAUGCGCAAAUCCCACGCUGCCAAGAAAAGCUUCUAACGUUAAUAUUUGACUGCCCGUACUGCAAACCGACACAGGUGGUCAGGAUGAGAAAUCUAAGGCGGACAGGCUAACUCUCGUUAAGGAACUCUGCAAAAUAACCUCGUAACUUCGGGAGAAGAGGAGCCCUUGAGGGUCAGUAUCCACGCGAUACAAAGCGCUCGAGGGUCGCAGUGAAGAGGCUCAAGCAACUGUUUAACAAAAACACAGGUCUAUGCUAAGCUGGAAGGCGAUGUAUAUGGGCUGACACCUGCCCAGUGCUGGAAGGUUAAGAGGAGGAGUGAGAGCUCCGAAUUGAAGCCCCAGUGAACGGCGGCCGUAACUAUAACGGUCCUAAGGUAGCGAAAUUCCUUGUCGGGUAAG
This 1979-nucleotide ribosomal RNA is filed under the name human oral metagenome. Its description in RNAcentral is "bacterial LSU rRNA". It matches the Rfam family "Bacterial large subunit ribosomal RNA", at positions 1 to 1980 of the family's 2925-position model. The record is from RNAcentral.